UCUGAAACAAAAAAAAACAUCUGAGUUCCUCAACAGAGUUCACAUACAGAAAAAAUUACUAUGGGUAGUACUAAAACUUUGGUGACUUGUUUCCUUGCAAUAACACUUGCAGUUUCAUUGUUUAACCAAAAUGUUUUGGCUUCAGGAAAGGAAAAUUUCUCAUUUGACAACUGCAGUACUCAUUGUUCAGAAUUCUACGGACGUGAUGAAUGUAUGAGAGAUUGUAUCAAAGCUGGAUUUAAGAAAGGUGGAGACUGCGGUUCUCCUUGUAUUCCAUGUCCCGUGUCUUGUUGUUGCCAAAUGUAGUUCAAACUUAUCUCUCAAAAUUGAUGAUUCUACCGUUGCAUUUGUUUUCUCUAAGUUAUUGUGCUUAAUUUGAAUCUUAUUUUCACAAAUAAAUGCAAUAAAAAAAAAAAAAUAAUUAAUAAUUAGUAACUUUCUCUUGAAA
Molecule: long non-coding RNA, 448 nt
Organism: Capsella rubella
Lineage: Eukaryota; Viridiplantae; Streptophyta; Magnoliopsida; Brassicales; Brassicaceae
Exons: 2
Source: RefSeq, a predicted model, not a curated record